Molecule: ribosomal RNA, 499 nt
Filed under: uncultured Glomeromycotina
Lineage: Eukaryota; Fungi; Glomeromycota
Description: partial small subunit ribosomal RNA
Rfam family: Eukaryotic small subunit ribosomal RNA
Source: RNAcentral
CCAAUAGCGUAUAUUAAAGUUGUUGCAGUUAAAAAGCUCGUAGUUGAAUUUCGGGAUCAAUAUGUCGGUCGUGCCUCGGUACGUACUGGCGUCAUUGGUUUCUCCCUUCUGAAGAACCUCGAUGUCAUUAAUUUGUUGUCUUGGGGAAUCAGGACUGUUACUUUGAAAAAAUUAGAGUGUUUAAAGCAGGCUCACGCUUGAAUACAUUAGCAUGGAAUAAUGAAAUAGGACGUUUAAUUCUAUUUUGUUGGUUUCUAGGAUUGACGUAAUGAUUAAUAGGGAUAGUUGGGGGCAUUAGUAUUCAAUUGUCAGAGGUGAAAUUCUUGGAUUUAUUGAAGACUAACUACUGCGAAAGCAUUUGCCAAGGAUGUUUUCAUUAAUCAAGAACGAAAGUUAGGGGAUCGAAGACGAUCAGAUACCGUCGUAGUCUUAACCAUAAACUAUGCCGACUAGGGAUCGGAUGAUGUUAAUUUUUUAAUGACUCAUUCGGCACCUUACG